Molecule: long non-coding RNA, 4434 nt
Filed under: Homo sapiens (human)
Lineage: Eukaryota; Metazoa; Chordata; Mammalia; Primates; Hominidae
Description: HSALNT0043505
Source: RNAcentral
GUUUUAGCAUGUUAGGCUAUUCUCGAACUCUUGACCUCAGGUGAUCUGCCCGCCUCAGCCUCCCAAAUUUCUGGGAUUACAGGUGUGAGCCACCAUCCCUGGCCAGUUUCCUUCUUCAUACUUUACUAUGUAAAAAACAAUUUCGACCCCACACUACUUAGAGACCAAGUACAAGAGGCAAAGGCAAAAUUUAAAGAAUACCGAUGCUUCAAGAGUUUGUUAUUAUUUUCACCCACAGAUAUACCUCUAUUUUCCACAAGAACAGCAAGCAAAAGAGAAGACAGGGAGGCACUCAGAGGAUGGGGAUUCUCCAAAGGUGAAAUGCAAGCUUAAGCAGUUUAAAUGUGUUGAUUUCAAAUGGGAUAUGAGCAGCAACUGCAAAUUAUAAAUCAUCCUGGUUAGCCUACUGAGAUCAGUGAGGAGAAGAGAAUGGGAGGAUCAGAACACAAAUGAAGUCACUGAUUACUUGGUUGCAGCCAAGAUGCAAAAAGGAAUAAGAUGUGCUUCUCUGCUCAGAAAAUUCAUAGUCCAUUGGGAGAAUGGGGUCUUCCUGGAUCAUUUCAGAACAACGUGGAAAACAAUGCAAUUAAAGAAUGUGUGUACAUAGUUUCAUAGAACCACAGACAAGGGCACCCAGCCUAUCUGGGGUGGGUGCAGAAUACAGAAUUUGAAAAUUAUCCAGUGGAAGUGAUUACUAAGAUGACUCAAAAACAGGACUGACGCAGGCAUGAACAGGGAGAUAUGAGCAUUCUGGAUGGUAUUGCAUAUGGAGGGAGAAAUUCUACUUUGGAACACUGACGUCAAGGCCAGUUGGGUGAGAGAUGGGGUUGGGGCAGUCAUCAAGUGCCAGACCACACGAGGAUGAAAUGCCUUGUUAAGGCAUCUGGCCUUUACCUUGUUGGCAGAAGGAAACCAUUGCUGAGUCUUAAAUAGUAGAAUGACAUGGUCAGGUAUGCCUUUCAGAUAACUCUCUGACAUGGCCUUGUAGAAAAUUGAUUGGAGAAGACAAGAAGAUGACAGGAGGGAAUGAGCCAUAGAAAGGCAGAUUUCCUUGGAAGAAAGAAAUCUUCUUCCAAAGAAGACUUCCAUAGGGUACUGUUACAGUAACCCAGACAGGAGAUGUUAAGGUCUGAACCUGGGUAUUAGUAGUUAGGGAGGAAAUAAAAUUGAGAAAUAUUACACUAUGUAAUUAGAGGGCACACCAAAUGGUUGAGUGGGAGGUGUCAAAGAGAGGUGGAUCAGAGUUGUCUUAGUUCAGCUACUAUAACAAAUUUCCAAAGACUGAAUGGCUUAAAAAAUAAUUUAUGUCUCACAAUUCUGGAGGACAGGAAGUCCAAGGUCAAGGCUCCAGCAGAUUUGGUCUCCUGUGAGGGCCUGCUUCCUGGUUUGCAAAUUGUUUUGUGGCUAUCUUCUCAUUGUAUCUUCACAUAGUGGAGGGCAGACAGAGAGAUCUCCUGCCACCUUCUCUUUUUAAAGGGUACUAAUCCCAUUAUGAGGUCCCCACUGUCAUGACCACAUCUAACGCUAAUUGCUUAUCAAAGGCCCUACCUUCAAACACCAUUAUAUUGGGGGUUAGGAUUUCAACAUAUCAGUUUGGAGAAGACACAAAUAUUUCGUGCAUAACAAGGGACAAUUUUCAUGUAUGUACAAAGGUCUUCCUUGGUAAGACCUUUCCUGACCACUCCACUAAAACUACAAAUCAUCCUUACCAGCAUCCCCUAUCCCUUCUCUUCCAUCUUUCUCUAGUGCUUAUAUAAUUUCAUUAUUAGCUAUCUGUCUUCACUACAAUAUGUGAGAUUCUUUAUGGCAGGGAUUUUGUCUCUUUUGUUCACUGCUGCAUCACAAUACCUGCAGCAGUGCCUGGCACCUACUAUGUACUCAAUAAGUAUCUGCUCAGUGAAUGAAUGCCUGAUGGUGGUGCUGAGAAAAACUGAGAAAAAAAUGCAGGAAGAAGAGCAAGUUUAGAGAAAAUGAUGCUGGGUUCACUUUUGCACUUUCUUUAGCACUCCAGGGAAAAAUAAAGCUAUGCAGAGACUCAGAAUGUUGGAUAUGACAGAGGCCCUAGAGACCAUUUGUUUUAGUCCAUUUAUGUUGCUAUAAAGGAAUACCUGAGGCUGGGUAAUUUAUAAAGAAAAGAGAUUUCUUUGGCUCACAGUUCUGCAGGCUGUACAGGAAGCAUGGCUCCAGCAUCUGCUUCUGGUGAGGGUCUCAGGCUAAUUUCACUCAUGUCAGAAGGCAAAGGGAAAGCGGUGUGUGCAGAGCUCACAUGGCAAGAGGAAGCAAGAGAGAAAGAGGGAGGGAAGGUGCCAGGCUCUUUUUGACAACCAGCUCUCAUGGAAACGAAUAGAGCAAGAACUGACUCAUUCCCACCAGGACAGCACCAAGUAAUUCAUGAGGAAUCCCCCACUGACCCAAACACCUCCCAUUAGGUCUUACCUCCAACAUUAGGGAUCACAUUUCAAUAUAAGACUUGGAGGGGUCAAAUAUCCAAACCAUUGCACCAUUCUAUACAGUUCCUUCAUUUGGGAAAAAAAGAAACUGAGGUCCAGAAAACUGAAGUGUCAUGCCCAUGGCAAGGCAAACACAGCUGAGCCAAGCAUCCCACCCCUGUUCCCAGCUUCAGUUUAGUGUUUAUGCCUCUUGUUUCUGGUAAUAUGAGAGAUCAAUAAAAAUCACUUGCCUUUGACCUUCAGCUAGAAUUUAACUAAACUAUUAAGUGCCUGUUUUUUCAGAGCCCACUUAACCAAUUCAUUCAGGAAAGAAAAUUUUUUGAGCCUGAGCCAGAUAUAGAAAGAUCUAGUCAUAGAGGUCUUCUCUGCCUUGGAAUCUUGCCAGGCUGAGGCUGCCUUAGCAGCUGUGCUAAAGCAAAUAGACAGCUCUGCCUGUGAGCCUCACACCAGGUAAGUAGUUGCCUGAAUCCAUCCGUGAUUUUAUUUUUAUUUGAUAUUUUUAAAUUGAGGUAUAAUUGUCACACCAUGAAAUGUAUAGAUCUUGUCAAUACAGGUCAAUGAAUUUUGACAAACAUAAACACCCAUGUAACCCCUACCCCAAUAAAGAUCCUUCCUGCCCUUCCCAAAGCCCCUUUCAGAGGCAACCACUUUUCUGAUUUCUAUCACCAUUGAUUAGUUUUGCCAGUUCAAGAACGUCAUGUAAAAGGAAAACUUUUCCAGAUUCGUACAUCUGGCUCCUUUUACUUGGCCUCAUGUCUAUGAGAUUCAACCAAGUUGGUGCUUGUAUCAUUAGUUUUUUCUUCACAUUGCUGAGUAGUAUUCAUGGGCUUAGUAUAGCACAAUUUGUUUAUUCAUUCUCCUGGAUAUUUAAGCUGUUUCUAAUUUCUGGCUAUUGUGAGUAAAGGUGCUAUAAACAAUCUUGUUUAAAUAUAUUUAAGGACAUAUGUUUUCAUUUUCCUUGGAUAAAUGUCUAGAAGUGACAUGGUUGGGUCUUAGGAUAGGUAUAUGUUUAACUUCAUAAAGAAAUGCCUAACAGUUUUCCAAGGUAGUAUAUGAUUUUUACACGCCAACCAGCAACAUAUAAGAUUUCCAAUUGCUUCAUAGCCUCACCAAUAUAGGUGUCAUCAAGCCUCUUCAUUUUAACCCCAUGAGAAGUCAAACAAACACAGUACACUUUUUUUUGUAACUGCUAACACUUUGCAAACUUCUAUUAUGGAGAAUUUCAUACACUUACUUAAGCAUUAGAUGCAUUCAUCAUCUAGCUUUACGAAUUAUCAACUUAUGGCCAAUCUGGUUUCAUUUCUAUACCCUUUAUCCCCUCCUCCCAUAUUAUUUAGAAGCAAAUCCCUGACAUCAUAUCAUUCAUCUGUAAGUAUCUCAGUAUGUAUCUCUGAAAUAUAAGGACAAUUUGUAAACCUAACUAAAAUGCCAUUGCAUUUGAUAUAAAAAACAAUAAUGCUUUAAUACCACUAAAUAUUCAGUCAACAUGCAAAUUUCUAAUUGUCUCAACAAAUUCAUAAAUUUUUUGUGUAGCUUGUCUGCUAAAAUCAGUAUUCAAAUUAGUAUACGUACUGCAAUCAGUUGAUAUGUCUUACAAGUAUCUUUUAAUUCAGAGGUUCCUCCUCUUCCUGUUUUAUUCUUCAUAAUGUUUUUGUUAAAUAAAUUGGAUUGUUUGUCCUCUAAAUUUACCUAUAGAUUGGAUUUUGCUAAUGCAUUAUUUAACACAUUCUUCCGUCCUCUGUAUUUUCUGUAAAUUGUUACUUCAUCUAGGAACUUAACCACAUUCAGGUUCAAAUUUUUGGCAAAACUACCUAAUCCUUGGUAUUAUGUUCUUCUAUCUGGAGGCACAUGGUGUCUGCUGUCUCUCUUUUUCACAUUAGCACUGUUUUUUAUCUCAUCAUUAGAUGAUUAACUUAUUUUAGGUUGCAAAAUUGUGACAUUCCAAUGCUACUCUGUUUUCAUUUAUAUGUUGGGAUACUUCCAU